CCUACGGGGGGCAGCAGUGGGGAAUCUUGCGCAAUGGGCGAAAGCCUGACGCAGCAACGCCGCGUGCGGGAUGAAGGCCCUCGGGUCGUAAACCGCUUUCAGCAGGGAUGAAACUGACAGUACCUGCAGAAGAAGCCCCGGCUAAAUACGUGCCAGCAGCCGCGGUAAUACGUAUGGGGCAAGCGUUAUCCGGAUUUAUUGGGCGUAAAGCGCGCGUAGGCGGCUUGUUAAGUCAGAUGUGAAAUCCGGGGGCUCAACCCGCGGCUUGCAUCUGAAACUGGCAGGCUUGAGUCUGGUAGAGGAAAGUGGAAUUCCUGGUGUAGCGGUGAAAUGCGCAGAUAUCAGGAGGAACACCAGUGGCGAAGGCGGCUUUCUGGGCCACGACUGACGCUGAGGCGCGAAAGCUAGGGGAGCGAACAGGAUUAGAUACCCUGGUAGUC
This 440-nucleotide ribosomal RNA is filed under the name uncultured bacterium. Its description in RNAcentral is "bacterial SSU rRNA". It matches the Rfam family "Bacterial small subunit ribosomal RNA", at positions 338 to 795 of the family's 1533-position model. The record is from RNAcentral.